GUUGGGUUUUAAAGGUGUGAACAGGAAAUGAAGGGUUGUGACUCUCCUGAAGAGUUGUGACUAUGCCGAAGGGUUGUGAACUUUAUGAAAGGUUGUGUCCUUUCUAAAGGUUUGUGACCGUUUGAAAGGUUAUGCCUUUUCCAAAGUGUUGUGACCUUUCUGAAAGGUUGUCUUCUUUCUGAAAGGUUGUCUUCUUUCCAAAGGGUUGUGACCUUUACCCUUUGUUGGCUAUAAAU
This 236-nucleotide long non-coding RNA is filed under the name Solanum tuberosum (potato). Its description in RNAcentral is "long non-coding RNA (STUB_LNC006290)". The record is from RNAcentral. Lineage: Eukaryota; Viridiplantae; Streptophyta; Magnoliopsida; Solanales; Solanaceae.